AUGAUGUGUGGUUUCAGUACUAAUAGGCACAAGGAGGAGGAGGUUUGCCUUGAUGGGCAGGUGGUGCCUCAGAAGGACAUCUUUAGAUAUUUGGGGUCUAUGUUGCAGAAGGAUGGGGAUAUCGAUGAAGAUGUCAAUCAUCGAAUCAAAGCCGGAUGGAUGAAGUGGCACAAAGCUUCUAGCAUUCUCUGUGACAAGAGAGUGCCACAAAAGCUAAAAGGGAAGUUCUAUAGAACGGCGGUUCGACCCACAAUGUUGUAUGGCGCUGAGUGUUGGCCAACUAAAAGGCAAUAUGUUCAACAGUUAGGUGUGCCAGAGAUGCGCAUGUUGAGAUGGAUAUGUGGCCACACAAGGAAGGACCGAGUCUGGAAUGAUGAUAUACAUGAUAGAGUUGGGGUAGCGCCGAUUGAAGAGAAGCUUGUCCAACAUCAUCUGAGAUGGUUUGGACAUAUUCAACGCAGGCCUCCAGACGCUUCGGUGCAUAGCGGAUGGCUAAAGCGUGCCGAUAAUGUUAAGAGAGGUCGGGGUAGACCAGACUUGACAUGGGAGGAGUCCGUAAAGAGGGAUCUGAAGGACUGGAGUAUCACCAGAGAAUUAGCCAUGGACAAGGGUGAGUGGAAGCUUGCUAUCCAUGUGUCAGAACCUUGA
RNAcentral lists this ribosomal RNA (648 nucleotides) under Triticum aestivum (bread wheat). Its description in RNAcentral is "partial small subunit ribosomal RNA". The record is from RNAcentral. Lineage: Eukaryota; Viridiplantae; Streptophyta; Magnoliopsida; Poales; Poaceae.